This 265-nucleotide ribosomal RNA is filed under the name uncultured bacterium. RNAcentral describes it as "partial 16S ribosomal RNA". It matches the Rfam family "Bacterial small subunit ribosomal RNA", at positions 793 to 1055 of the family's 1533-position model. The record is from RNAcentral.
GUCCACGCUGUAAACGAUGAGCACUAGGUGUCGUGGGUAUUGACCCCGCGGUGCCGCAGCUAACGCAUUAAGUGCUCCGCCUGGGGACUACGGCCGCAAGGUUAAAACUCAAAGGAAUUGACGGGGCCCGCACAAGCGGUGGAGCAUGUGGUUCAAUUUCGACGCAACGCGAAGAACCUUACCUGGGCUAGACAACGGAGGACAGCUCCAGAGAUGGGGGUCUUCCCUUCGGGGACCUCCGGUUCAGGUGCUGCAUGGCUGUCGU